Molecule: ribosomal RNA, 117 nt
Organism: Danio rerio (zebrafish)
Lineage: Eukaryota; Metazoa; Chordata; Actinopteri; Cypriniformes; Danionidae
Source: Ensembl
UGCCACAGCCAUAUCAGCCUGCAAGCCAAGACCGGUUACUCACUGAAGCUAAGCAGGGCUGGGCCUGGUCAGUAUCUGCAUGGGAAACCACAUGGGAAAAUUAGGUUGCUGAUGGAA